UACGGAGGGAUCUAGCGUUGUUCGGAAUUACUGGGCGUAAAGCGCGCGUAGGCGGCUUUGUAAGUUAGAGUUGAAAGCCCGGAGCUCAACUCCGGAACUGCCUUUAAAACUGCAUCGCUUGAAUCCAGGAGAGGUGAGUGGAAUUCCGAGUGUAGAGGUGAAAUUCGUAGAUAUUCGGAAGAACACCAGUGGCGAAGGCGGCUCACUGGACUGGUAUUGACGCUGAGGUGCGAAAGCGUGGGGAGCAAACAGG
RNAcentral lists this ribosomal RNA (253 nucleotides) under uncultured bacterium. RNAcentral describes it as "partial 16S ribosomal RNA". It matches the Rfam family "Bacterial small subunit ribosomal RNA", at positions 524 to 776 of the family's 1533-position model. The record is from RNAcentral.